Clupea harengus (Atlantic herring) is the source of this 1013-nucleotide long non-coding RNA. NCBI's taxonomy places the organism in Eukaryota, Metazoa, Chordata, Actinopteri, Clupeiformes, Clupeidae. The record is from Ensembl.
ACCCACUCCAAUGAUCUGUAUGAUUAAAAGAAAUAACACGUAAUAAAUAUAGAAAUGUGUAGAUUAUGUGAAGGGGGUGCUAACAUUUUUUUAAACCCUGUAGAAAUGCCAUAUCUUGUGAAGAAGACACUAUAGUAUGCACUCUAGAUUGCAUCCAGCUUAACUUAGUCAUUAAUGAUGGGAAAAUGGGCAGCCACGGAGAAGACUCUGUGAAAUUGUUUUCAACGGUAAUUACGAGAGGGCUGUUGGCCUUUCAAAAACAUCGCACCGGUUUGAGAUAGGGACUUGACAGAUAGGAUCCUGGUUCUCUGGCCAAGCCAAGUGAAGGUCUUGCUGGCACCUGCGACGCAUUCGGCUCCAGUUGGAAACGUUUAGCGCGGAAACGCUGCUCUUUUGAUCAGAGCCUCUCACUCUCUCCUCGUCUGCUUUGAGGCUGAUCGGCUGUCCAACUGUUUACCUCCGAGGCCGCCGUCUGAAGGCAAUUGUGCGAGCAACUUUUUUUUCUUUCUUUUUUUUUGAAAAGCUCAAGCACUUUUUCUGCCAAGGAGAACUUCAACUUUUAAUGGAUCCCUGGCAGGAGUUGCGUUUGCCGGGAAAAGGCUUUGCAAAGUAACAGGUUGAAAUGUCACCACCUGCUCCGCUCCGAAACGCGAUCGCUGCUGCGCUACCUCUCCCUUCCGCCUGAUGCCUUUGCUGCACAUCAAAGCCGAAGCGGAUUCGUGGUUGUUUUUUAGGUUAAAACGCAGUGUUGGAACACAGUCCUUGUAAGUGCACUCAUUAAGGUGUACUGUAAAAUUGGACGUUGCCAUACGAUGCUGUAAAUGUGUUUAUUUAUUUUAUUUAUAGUUUGUUGCAAUAGGAAUCAGCCUUGCAUCAGCAUAUAUCAGAUGCCUUGUACAACGCCAUCUCUUGAGUGAGGUCUCAGAGAAUGUCAGUUAGAUACAUCGUAUUUUUAGAUUGAAAUGUCACUGUAUUUUGAAUGCAAAUAAGAGGUGAUUUUUGACAAGACAUGC